GAAGACCAAGGGUUCCUGUCCAACGUUAAUCGGGGCAGGGUAAGUCGACCCCUAAGGCGAGGCCGAAAGGCGUAGUCGAUGGGAAACGGGUUAAUAUUCCCGUACUUCUUACAAUUGCGAUGGGGGGACGGAGAAGGCUAGGUGGGCCUGGCGACGGUUGUCCAGGUUCAAGUGCGUAGGCUUGAGAGUUAGGUAAAUCCGGCUCUCUUUAAGGCUGAGACACGACGUCGAGCACCUACGGGUGUGAAGUCAUUGAUGCCAUGCUUCCAGGAAAAGCCUCUAAGCUUCAGAUUGUAAGGAAUCGUACCCCAAACCGACACAGGUGGUCGGGUAGAGAAUACCAAGGCGCUUGAGAGAACUCGGGUGAAGGAACUAGGCAAAAUGGUACCGUAACUUCGGGAGAAGGUACGCUCUUGAUGGUGAAGUCCCUUGCGGAUGGAGCUGACGAGAGUCGCAGAUACCAGGUGGCUGCAACUGUUUAUUAAAAACACAGCACUGUGCAAAAUCGUAAGAUGACGUAUACGGUGUGACGCCUGCCCGGUGCCGGAAGGUUAAUUGAUGGGGUUAGACUUC
Molecule: ribosomal RNA, 573 nt
Filed under: Vibrio parahaemolyticus
Lineage: Bacteria; Pseudomonadati; Pseudomonadota; Gammaproteobacteria; Vibrionales; Vibrionaceae
Description: partial 23S ribosomal RNA
Rfam family: Bacterial large subunit ribosomal RNA
Source: RNAcentral